RNAcentral lists this long non-coding RNA (1069 nucleotides) under Brassica rapa (field mustard). RNAcentral's name for it is "long non-coding RNA (BRAP_LNC005363)". The record is from RNAcentral. Lineage: Eukaryota; Viridiplantae; Streptophyta; Magnoliopsida; Brassicales; Brassicaceae.
UUGCCACAUGUAAAUCCAGUAUAUUUCUUCUUUUUCUUUUUUUUUCUAGUUUUUACAGUACGAGGUGUUUACGACGAUUUUGGUUACGUGGUAAUUACGACGAAUUUGUCCUACGUGGUAUUUACGACGAAUCUCUCCUACAUGGAAUAAACGAGGAAUUUGUCCUACGUGGUAUUUACGACGAAUUUGUCCUACGUGGUAUUUACGACGAAUCUCUCCUACAUGGAAUAAACGAGGAAUUCGUCGUAAGUUCGACGUCAACAUACGAGGAAUUAACGAGUAUUCCGUUUAAAUCCCUAAAAUCCGAAACCCCAAACCCCAAACCCCAUAUUCCUUAUCUUCUACUUCAUAUAUUCCAAACCCUAUCUUUAUUUUCAUUCCAAACCACAAUUCCCUAUCUUCUAAUUCAUAUAUUCCAAACCACAAUUCUCACUUUUACUUAUUCAUAAAACAAACUCCCACAUUUUCUUAUUCACAAAACAAACUCCCACAUUACCUUAUUCAUAAAACAAACUCUCACAUUACCUUAUUCAUAAAACAAACUACACAAAAUCGAGUAUAUUUCUUCUUUUUCUUUUUUUUUCUAGUUUUUACAGUACGAGGUGUUUAUGACGAUUUUGGUUACGUGGUUUUUACGACGAUUCCGUCCUACGUGGAAUUAAAGUGGACCGCGUUCAUCAUUUAUUUUACGUGGUAUUUACGAUGAAUCUCUCCUACGUGGUAUUUACGACGAAUUUGUCCUACGUGGUAUUUACGACGAAUCUCUCCUACGUGGAAUAAACGAGGAAUUUGUCCUACGUGGUAUUUACGACGAAUUUGUCCUACGUGGUAUUUACGACGAAUCUCUCCUACGUGGAAUAAACGAGGAAUUCGUCGUAAGUUCGACGUCAACAUACGAGGAAUUAACGAGUAUUCCGUUUAAAUCCCUAAAAUCCGAAACCCCAAACCCCAAACCCCAUAUUCCUUAUCUUCUACUUCAUAUAUUCCAAACCCUAUCUUUAUUUUCAUUCCAAACCACAAUUCCCUAUCUUCUAAUUCAUAUAUUCCAAACCACAAUUCUCACUUUUAC